UGGUGGGGUAGAGGCUAGGAACCGCGUCCCGCAAGGUCGGGCACCUAUUAGGGCGCGGGGGAGCCAGUGGUGCGACCGGCUACCGUAACC
RNAcentral lists this non-coding RNA (90 nucleotides) under unclassified sequences. RNAcentral describes it as "c-di-GMP sequence". It matches the Rfam family "c-di-GMP-II-GAG riboswitch aptamer". The record is from Rfam by way of RNAcentral.